UACAGAGGGUGCGAGCGUUAAUCGGAAUUACUGGGCGUAAAGCGCGCGUAGGCGGCCCGCUAAGUCGAACGUGAAAUCCCCAGGCUCAACCUGGGAACUGCGUCCGAUACUGGCAGGCUUGAAUCCGGGAGAGGGAUGUGGAAUUCCAGGUGUAGCGGUGAAAUGCGUAGAUAUCUGGAGGAACACCGGUGGCGAAGGCGGCAUCCUGGACCGGUAUUGACGCUGAGGCGCGAAAGCUAGGGUAGCAAACGGG
Molecule: ribosomal RNA, 253 nt
Filed under: uncultured bacterium
Lineage: Bacteria
Description: partial 16S ribosomal RNA
Rfam family: Bacterial small subunit ribosomal RNA
Source: RNAcentral